This 439-nucleotide ribosomal RNA is filed under the name uncultured bacterium. Its description in RNAcentral is "partial 16S ribosomal RNA". It matches the Rfam family "Bacterial small subunit ribosomal RNA", at positions 339 to 795 of the family's 1533-position model. The record is from RNAcentral.
CUACGGGACGCAGCAGUGAGGAAUAUUGCACAAUGGGGGGAACCCUGAUGCAGCAACGCCGCGUGGAGGAUGACGCAUUUCGGUGUGUAAACUCCUUUUAUAUGUCAAGAAAAUGACGGUAGCAUAUGAAUAAGCACCGGCUAACUCCGUGCCAGCAGCCGCGGGAAUACGGAGGGUGCAAGCGUUACCCGGAAUCACUGGGCGUAAAGGACGCGUAGGCGGGUUGGAAAGUCAGGUGUGAAAUCCUACAGCUUAACUGUAGAACUGCACUUGAAACUUCUAAUCUAGAGUAUGGGAGAGGGAGAUGGAAUUAGUGGUGUAGGGGUGAAAUCCGUAGAUAUCACUAGGAAUACCUAAAGCGAAGGCGAUCUCCUGGAACAUUACUGACGCUAAGGCGUGAAAGCGUGGGGAGCAAACAGGAUUAGAUACCCGAGUAGUC